RNAcentral lists this ribosomal RNA (206 nucleotides) under uncultured Eubacteriales bacterium. RNAcentral describes it as "uncultured Clostridiales bacterium partial 16S ribosomal RNA". It matches the Rfam family "Bacterial small subunit ribosomal RNA", at positions 568 to 774 of the family's 1533-position model. The record is from RNAcentral. Lineage: Bacteria; Bacillati; Bacillota; Clostridia; Eubacteriales.
UGAGUAGGCGGUUGCAUAUGUCAGAUGUAAAAGGCACAGGCUUAACUUGUGUUAGCAUUUGAAACUGUGCGACUUGAGUGCAGGAGAGGUAAGUGGAAUUCCUAGUGUAGCGGUGAAAUGCGUAGAUAUUAGGAGGAACACCAGUGGCGAAGGCGACUUACUGGACCGUAACUGACGCUGAGUCACGAAAGCGUGGGUAGCAAACA